Molecule: transfer RNA, 65 nt
Filed under: Dipodomys ordii (Ord's kangaroo rat)
Lineage: Eukaryota; Metazoa; Chordata; Mammalia; Rodentia; Heteromyidae
Rfam family: tRNA
About the family: Transfer RNA (tRNA) molecules are approximately 80 nucleotides in length. Their secondary structure includes four short double-helical elements and three loops (D, anti-codon, and T loops).
Source: Rfam by way of RNAcentral
GGUGGCUCAGUGGUAGAGUGCUUGCUUUGCAUGCAUGAGUCCUUAAGUUCAAUUCCUCAGCACCA